GUGGGGCUGGGGCUCAGUGGUAGAGCGCUUGUCUGGCUCGCGUGGGGCGCUGGGUUCGAUCCUCAGCACCACA
This 73-nucleotide transfer RNA is filed under the name Marmota monax (woodchuck). RNAcentral describes it as "tRNA.Ala". Lineage: Eukaryota; Metazoa; Chordata; Mammalia; Rodentia; Sciuridae. The record is from RNAcentral.